This 21535-nucleotide long non-coding RNA is filed under the name Eucalyptus grandis. Its description in RNAcentral is "long non-coding RNA (EGRA_LNC006395)". The record is from RNAcentral. Lineage: Eukaryota; Viridiplantae; Streptophyta; Magnoliopsida; Myrtales; Myrtaceae.
AGAAAGAUGCCUCGAGCGAGGGCAGCGUGAGGGAGGGAGAGAACGCUCGGCCGAGGCAUGAAGGGGCGAGAGAAGAGUGUUCUUUCCGUUCUCGGGGAGUGACCGAGAACCCAGUCGCCGGAGCUCGCCGCCGGUUUCCAAAGCUCCGGCCAAGGAUCAGUUCGUGAGCCAGCCUUUACCCAUUCGGCGGUCUUUCUACAGCCGAAGAAGGAGCCCCAACUAGUCGCUCCUCACCGUCGCCGACUGAGAUCUUGAGUCGCCGAACGAGACAGGUAGGAUUUCUCUCCCAGAAGCCCCUGUUUUCUGGCCGGAGAAACUCGCCUGAGUCGAUGUAACUUUUGGAUCAAAAUCUCGACGAACUCACGCAAGUUUAGAACGGUUCAUAGUGUUUGGGAGGUUAAUAUAUCAUGGUUGGAUCGUGGAAUGCUGUAGAUUUGAACUAACUAUUUGUUAUAUUGCCUGAACGAACCGCAGAAUGUUAAAGAAAACCGAAUCUGAUCGUUAAAAUUUUAAGUAAACUAGAACAAAUUAGGAUGGAUUUAGCAUGAAAAAUGUUGAUUCAUGCCUUUAUACAUUGUUUUUUACUCUAAAAUGGCAUCGAAUCCCUCUCUGGAACACAUCCUUUACAUCGCACAUCAGUCGCUCGAUAAAAUGCUUGAGAGAAGGCCGAAACUGCUCGAUUGUUGAAUCUUAAGAUUGAUUUUGCUUUUGCUUCUGUAUAGGUUGAAUGUGGCCUAAUAUUAGUGUUUUCUUUUGUUUUACGCAUGUGAUGAGAAAUCUGUGUUCGAGUUCAACUUGUAUAUAUAUCCCCAUGCCCAAAAGCUGUUCGUCGGAGACAUCCCCUCUCGCCGGCGAAGUUUGUGAUUUAAAAUCAGCCAGUCAGUUUAGCUCUUCACUUUGUUGUAUACUAGUGAUUUUUUGCUUGUUAGAAAGCCUAGGAUGGGAGGGAUUAGCUUCCGAUAGGUAUUUUUGUUCAUGGUUGAGGUCGCCGGAAUGAGUGGUCGGAGUUGGGGGGUUGCCGGUGGGAGUGGAUGACCGGCGGAGAGAGUCGGUUUGGCGGCCAUGAAGGCGCUGGCAGUCGCCGGCCGGAGCAAUGGCGGGGCGUCGAGGCUGGUGAUCCUGGUUCGGUGAGUGCAGGUGGAAAGAAAAAGAGUCGGCGAAGGAGGAGGAGCGCUUCCGGAGGUUGAAGGAGGAGUGCAGGGAAAGAAUGUAAAACAGGGAAAAGGACAAAAGAAAGAAGAAAAAAAAAAAGAAAUUUAAAAUAAAAUUCACAAUAUAUAUCAAAUAUAUAUAAGUAUUAAAAAAAAGGUUUUAAUCCGACUCGGGCCGGGUCAACGGGCCGGAUGUGGUAAACCCGGUCCGAACCCGUUCCCCGAAUAUAACAAUAAUAAAAUUAAUAAUUAAAAAAUUCGAAACUAAUAAAAAUUAAAAAAAUUAAAAAUUCAUAAAAUGAUAAAAAAAAUUUAGAAACUUUUAAAAUAUUUAGAAAAUUCGAAAAUCAAUAAAAAAACUAGAAUUAUAGAAAAUCGUUCAAAUAAAAUAUCCGAAAAAAGAUAUUCAAAAGUAAAAAUUAAUUAAAAAUUUUGAAAAAAUAUAUUAAAAUAUUAAAAAAAAUCAUAAAAUUAAUGAAAAAAUUUAAAAAACUCGGAAAAUCCUAAAAAAAAAAUCAGAAAACCCAAAAAAAUCGUGAAAACUUAGAAAAUCCAAAAGAUUAACAUAAAAAUUUUUAAUUUUAAUUUUAAUUUGAUUAAAAAAAUUAGAAAACCCUUAGAAAUUAAUUCCAAAAUUUGGACAGUCCUUUAGGACUUUACAAUAGGGUUCUUUGUUGUGAUUGUAUUUUUAUCCCUAAGGAUGAUAUUAGGAUCCUUGCAUGCCUUCCUUCACAAUAGUAAUUGAUUGCACAUUUCAAUUUUUUGGUUAUUACUUUCCUCUCUAUAAUGAUUAGGAGGAAUCUUAGAUUUUUUUUUGGAUAGGCCGCUAUGGCGUCUGUUAGUACAUAAUCGAGUAGGUACCGAAAGAACAUUAGUCUUAGGGCUAACGUAAUGAAGUCCCGAGUCUAUAAUCUUUGGUUCCGUAAAUAGUAAGAUAUCAUUCUAUAACUUACUUGGUUUCUAGCCGGCUGAAAAAGCUAAGGAUUACUCCUUAGUCAAAAUUUGCAUAGGCUUAAUUGUUUAAAAUCCGAAUGCUCGAUGUCGCGCGAGACAUGAGUUUGGGAGAACUCAAGUUCAUAAUUAAUAGACUGAGCAUGGAGACGUCACUCUUGAAGCCGUCUCUUUUAAGGAUGCCUAGUUGGACCGUUAUGCGAACAAAUGCCACUAAACCUACUCACUAGAGGAAAGUGUUUACCCUUCAACGGGUUAGGUUGCGACAUGACCAUAACUAACCUUUCCUCUUUCUUUCUUUCUUUCUUUUUUUUGGUCUAGGACCAUAACUGACGUACUCCCAUGAUACAUCUCAUGAAAUUCUGCAAGUAACGAGCUAAUUUGAUGGUGAAGGCUGGUUCAAGAAAGAUGCUUGUCCGCAGGAUUACCUAUGUGAUUGAUGUAAUUUCUGCAAUAGUCAAAUUGACAGCAAGUAAUUCAUGGAUCUCACGGUGAAGUAAAAUCAAUGCAUCAUGCUCGAGCAAGAUAAUUGCAAUUUGCAAAGUUUCCAAAUUGGCACAUUCACUAAAUGAUAAUGCCUAGCUAAUUACAAAGCCCUAGACAAAUUUGGGAUAGCAUACCUCAACAUUUGACCGAUCUGAACACCGAAAAUAACUUCACAACCAAUAAGUAACUAACCAAAGUACUAUUAGUGAAGGAACGGGUUUUCCUCCAUUCUUUCUUUUGGUAUCAAUUUCCAUGACAAAUAGAGCAAUAUGACUCAUAAAAGUAAGAGACAAAAUAGAUCUUUACCAUGGCUUACUUGGUAAAUGUCACGCCCCGAACCCCAAGCGCACGCAUAUCCCUCGGUGGUCGAUUAAAAAUGCGACGUCCCAAAACACGUCGCCAACCCUUUUUUUUUAUUUUUCAAUUAAGCACAUGGUGGAAGCGAAUUAAAUAAACACCCGGCCAACAAACAAACAUAGGGAUAGUAAAACACGACAACCAUUGCCGAAAACAAUAUAUUCAUUUAUCAACUGUUAACCCUAAGAAGUUUAAUACUUACAAGCUUUCCUACUGCCACUUCCUAUCGACCCUCCCAAAAAUCUUCAGCGACUAGGAUCAACCUAAACUUCACUAGCAAUUGGGCCAGGUGUCGCAUUCCACGCCCACCAAAUCCGCACUUAGCAGAUCUCCACAUUAUGGCCUUGAAAAAGUUUAGCCACGAUGGGGUGAGAUAAAUCUCAGUGAGUCAAAACUCUAAACCCCGAUUAUGACGCAAAUUCGCUUUGAAGGAGGUCUUAAACACGCACCAGACAAAACUCACCUCGCCUCAGCACGUCCCUACACAUUAGCGCAUCACAAAUGCCAUUAUAAAUAUCACAAGCGUAAUUAAUAACUAGAACACGGGAUUUUCAUCCUCCAAACAUUCACAUGAGUCCCAAUUAUAAGAUAAAACCAUUAUAACACGUCUCAUAUCAUGCCAUACAAUUUUAUCCCAUAAUCAGGCACAAACUAUCACAACCAUUCAAGCGUGUUCUGGUUAUUAUGACUAAUCGGCCACGGUCAACUCAACAGUUAGCGGUCAUUCGACGUAAUCGAGCAUCGUCUUGCCCCAUCGAGCAUGGUAACAUCUUGAACCCCCACUUAGACGGCAUUCCAUAAAAGAGCAUUGGUUUGACCUCCACCGUGACUCUGCUUUCGGACCCUCGCCGAGCAUCCGAUAAAAAUCAGGCAUCAUCCCCAAACUCCUGUUGGGUGACGGGUUCAAUUACGUGACCAUGCAAGCAUGUCAUCAAUCAAAUCAGCUUUUAUUUCCGUCAUUUAGCCAACAAAACAGAAAUCCCUUUUCAAAUAAUAAACCUUGCAACUCCUUUUUUUUUUUGUUUAAAACUUUCAGAAAUAAAUUCGUACGGGGUCACAUAUUUGAAAUCAACCCACCAAAUUUUGCACGCAUCUCAUUUGAAACCUCAUGGUUUUAUUGAGCACAUAAAACUUGGCAUCCAAACCUGAAAUCAUAUUUAUUUUCUAUUUCUUUGUCCAAUCAUCCAUUUUGGAAACAAUCUUUAUUAACCCCCUUUUUUUUUCUCCUUUAAAACUUUUGGAAAGAAAUUCGUAAGUACUCUCUUAUUCAAAAUUAAUCCAUCAAAAUUUGCAUGUACCUAGUUUAAAAUCUUAUUGUUUUAUUGAGCAAAUAAAUUUUGGUGUCCGAACCCGACACCUCAUUAUUUUUCUAAUUAAAAGCUUAUAAGGUCAUCUUUUACAAUAAUAAUAGACAAUCCUCAUAGAACAACCAUUUACAUAAUAUCACGCAUAAGUUCUCAACCAAAUCACAAAAUGUACAUUUCCCAGCAAGUAAGACACCAAGAACAACCACAAGACCACUACCAGCCCUUACCGACAGAAACCGGGUUCACUCGCACGUCUCCAAGAUUAAUUCUAGAAAUAUAACCAAACGAGUUCAGAAAAUUCUCAAAUUUAAAUAUAUUAUAAAGGACACUUAAAAAAAAACACUUUUCAUGAAGACAUCUUGACCCAGACCUUUAUAGAAUAAGAGCAGUAAAUUGUUCAAGUCGUUACCAAAACUGUGUCCAUAUCCAGAAAUUAUGUUUUCCAAAAGCAGCUUGGUUUAGGGUCCAAAACUCAUCUGUUUGCUCUGAAAUUUAACUAUGUUAAACUUCAAAAUGUGAUAAAAAAAAAUUUUUGAAGAAACUCUUUCAAAAGUCGUACCUUAAAAAUUGUGAAGAAACACCAAAAGGUCACUGGUUCCAGCACAAACCGAGAUUCUGCCUUGCAUGUAACGGAGUUGAAAUCUUGUUCUUUUAAAUACCAAAAAUCUUGAGUAAAAUAAAUGUCAUAAAUGAAGAUGUUUAGAUCAUUUUUCAAGAAGGAAAUAAUCCCAAAAUCGUGGCACAUUUUAACUCACGAAAAUAGCAAACAGCGAGUGUCCAGUAAACUGCGAUUAAUUAGUCUAAUCCAACUUAAUUAACACUAAUCCUUCUUAGCACUAAUCUAACCAUGAUUAACACCAAUCUAAACAUCCCUUAAGCGCAAUUAACAGUCUAAUCAAGGAUUAUGGAGUUAACUCACCGAAAUUCGACGGCGGCGGGCUUGUGGUGACGAUAACGCAACGGCUACGAAAACGCAAGACUACCGUGUCUCAAAUGGAGGCUUGGCGAAGGCUGAGAUGGCCUCUCAAGCUCUCGGCCAAGGCUGUUUAGUGGGGCUAGGGUGCUGGUCUCGAAUACGGCUGGACGGGCGACAAGAAGGUGGUGAGAUGGUGGCUGCUUGGUGGGCUCGGUGGAGGUGGUGUGAAGGAAGCGGUGCUGGUUUGGUGGUGAGGCAUUGUGGACGGUGACUACUGGCGUGAGGGUAAGUGGUGCUGGUGUUAUGAGGUGGGGUGGGGGUGGAAAUGUGAAGGGGUGAAGAAGAACCGUGAGAUGAAGAUAAGAUGGAGAGAGUGGAGGGGGCUGAUGAUGCUGGAGUUGGCGUGAGAUAAUGAAAAUGAAGGGAAACAAAACCAGAUGGAAGAAAGGCAGACGUGGGGGAAGAAGGUGGGGCUGCGGCAAGGAAAAUAAGGGAAAUGCGUGAGGGAGAAAGGAAGAAGAAAGAGCAUAAGGGAAAGAAAGGUAGCGCAUGACAAUGUUUCUAUUCCUCAAGAUUUUUGUUCUUUUGUUCCUAAGAACAAAAAAAAAAAAAAAAAAAAAAAAACAGAAAUACAUUUGGUAACACCAAGUUGUUUUUUUAUUCCCGGGAAUAGAAAAUUAGCUCGGGAAUGGUUUUGGAACAGAAACGAUAAGCAAAAAAAAGUUGCUUCUUGUUCUUGAGAACAAUUUCUAGAAAUAAGCCAAUUUUCUUUUUUAUUUUUCUUUUAUUCCUCUCUCUUGCUGUGGCCAUCUCCAACUGCCCAGAGCCACCGCCGACCGUCGGUUGUCGCCACCGCCGGUUGCCAGCCGCUGCCGCCUCUCGCCGGCGGCCAGCCGCAAGAGGUGGCGAUAGAUGGGCUGUGCUGCUGCGGUCAACAGCCGACAGUCGUGCAGCGGCGGCGGCGACAGUCGACAGUCGGCGAUCCAUGAGCAAGAAUAAAAAACGAAUAAAUACAAAAAAGAAACUAUUGCGUUACCAAACGCAUUUCUAUUAUUUUUCUAUUUCAAGAGUAAAAAUUUUGUAUAGUUACCAAACAGAUUCUUUUACUAAGAAAUUGUUCCUCAGAAUAGAAAUAGAAAAGAACUAUUUUUGAAAAAAAAAAACGCUUCCCCAGCCAAGAAGCGUUGUCAUGCGCAGCCAAAGAAGCUGGUCAACUGCUGUAGGGGGUUCACGCACUCCUAAAGGAGGGGAAAUGGGAGAGAGAGAAGGGAAAAAAGAAGUCAAGGGCAUAGCCAAUGGAAAACUUUGCAAAAUAUCAAGUCCAUCAUCGAAAUGUCCCCAAAGUGUUCAUGCCAAAUAAGUCAAUAGCUCAUCCAAUAAGGAAUUAGUCCUAAUUUCACCCAAAAUAAACCAAAUUAGGGUAGAAAAACCCAAAUCUUAAACCCAUCCGAAUUUCCUUUCUAUUUUCCUUUUUUCUGAAAAUUCGCCGAAAGAUAAGAAGACGUCUUAUAAAUGAAUCGUGACACGCCUGAAUGUCCAAUUCCCGAAACUGAAUUCAAUUUCGUGGUUAAAAUCGACCGAGCGCGAUUUUAGUACAACCUAAUCUAUCAGGUAGCUUUUAGGGAUUUUAACACGUUUGACCCGUAGUCAAUAAUUUUCGAUCCAUGUUUGUACAUCUCUGACACAUAGACGACUCUUGGUUGUCACAAUAAUCGCAACAUUUCAAUCACGUGUCCCGAGCAUAAUUUCAAUAGAAAAAUCGGUUUAUUGUCAUUCGACGUGAAUAUCGCAACCGUGCGGAACCGCUUGUAAUUCAACUACGCAAACCCAUCGAAUUGACUUAUAUCCGUUCGCUAAUCGAUUAUAACAGUGUCGUAUUGACCCUUGCCGAUUAUUAUGGUCGAGCAGUCAAUUUUCAGUCGAAUUCUUUAAUCUGUCGCGUGUAUAUCCCUUAACGGCCUCACCUAAUAGAUUAGUUAACUCAAGAGUGAUCAGUUCCAAACAAAUUAACUGUAAGCACGUCGACGAAACAACCAUUUCAUAUAUUCGAAUCGGAGGUCAAAUUUCGGAAUGUCACAGCAAAAGUGGCUGGACGUCCAAAAAAGUAAUGACAUAUGCGUCAAUGUUUGACUUGUUAGAUGGAAAAGCAGCAUCAUUAGAUUUAGUUGCCUCACAGUUCUCUUGAUUUUGCAGAAUACCCGAAGGAUUUUGGAGCUUCCUUAUCCCCUCCAACUCCAUUGCCACUUCUUUCAUGGUAGGUCGGUUCCUCCCGUUCAAGUUUAGGCACCUUUUUGCUAGGCUGGCAACUAAUGCAAUCUCUUCCUUGUUACCUUCUUUCAAAACUUGAGCAUCGACAAUGUCAAACAAGCAAUUCUCCUCCAUUGAAAUUAUGAAAUAGGUCACGAGGCUUCUUCCUUCUUGUUCCCUCAGUGAAGAAAUUGGCUUUUGCCCCAUUAAGAGUUCAACAAGUACCACUGCAAAGCUGUAUACAUCACUUUUGUCAGUGAAUUGACUUGAUUGGAAAUAUUCAGGAUCUAGAUAGCCAAAAGUACCCUGUACCAACGUGAUUACAUGAGUUUGAUCAAGGGAAACUGACUUUGAAGUACCAAAAUCUGCCACGUUUGCUCGAUAUUUUUCAUCCAAAAAGAUAUUGGUGGACUCGAUGUCUCGAUGAUAAAUGGGAAUAGAGGCUGCUGAAUGCAAGUAGAAUAAGGCUCCUGCGAUUUUAGUUGUAAUCUGUAGCCAUGUGUCCCACGAAACAUGAAACUCUUCAUUUGGGUCAUGCAAAUAUUGGUAUAAAGUCCCAUUUGGUAUGAACUCAUACACUAAAAGCGGCACUUCUAUUUCCAAGCAACACCCCAAUAACUUAACCACAUUCAUAUGGUUGAUUUGUGAGAGAAUGAGGACUUCAUUUAUGGACUAUUCGACUUUUCCCUCAUCAAUCACUUUUGCUUUCUUAAUCGCGACUAUUUUUCUAUCUGUUAACAUUCCCUUGUAAACGGUGCCCUGUCCACCUUGCCUAAGUAUCCUAUCAUCUUUGAAAUUGUCGGUGGCCUUCUCUAAAUCCUUGGCAUUGAACAAUUUGCUUUUCUCGACGUUGCCUUUUGUUGAAAUGAAGACAGCUCACUUUUCAACAAAAGGCCGCCAUUGCGUUUGAAGUACUUCUCUUUGAGCUUGAUUUCUUCUCUCUUCUUGAUGUAUUUGUACAACCUCCAUAAGAAAAGACACAAAGCUAUUGCCCCAAGGCCUGCCCCAACCCUUGCAUUGCAAAAAAUUUGAGGGGUAAUAGUGUUAAAAAUGCCCCCUCUUUGUCAAGAAUCUAUAAAGGCACUUAUCAUAAAAUAUUAAAGUGACUCUGAGUGAAAGGAGUACAUAUGGAAGUGAUUGACCUAACUCUCCUUUCAUAUGGAUUUAUCUUAUCAACCAUGACAAGUUAAUUUGUCCUAGUAAUUUAUCAAACCAUUUCACUCUUCGCAGGUUGGGCAACCGCGGUCGGUUCCGACACGCAUCAUUUUUAUAUAAUAUAAUAAUAUUAUUUUAAUAUUAAAAAAUAUUUUUCUAAUAAUAACCCAAAAAAUAGAAAAAGCUAAAAAAUAGUCUUUGGUGGUUUUUCCUUGAAGUAUAUGAAAAUCCCUAAAAGAAAAAAAAAUUGUGUUUAAAUUCUCAAAAGCAAAUGUCGGAUUUUUGCUUGUUCCUAUUGCACCCUUAUGAUGCAUGGAUUGCUAUUUCUUUAGCUUGGUUAGGAAUGGAAUCCUAUGAUUUCCUUAGCUUGUUAGGAAUGGAAUCCUAGGACUUGUGACUGGCAUAAAAUGUUGCAUGAAUGCUUUGCUUGAUAUUUAAACAAGAUUAACUACUGAAAGGCAUUAGUUGAUUCCAUGGUGUAAUCAAAUCUCCAAUCCUAAUUUUUUUGGUUGUAUAGGAGUAAAAUAUUUCUCUUCAUAUUUUACUUGGAUUUUCAAUCGAUUUACCACAAACAAAUUAAUGGUGAUUUCUAAAUGAAAAUGACUUGUAGAUUCAAAUUCAUGGGUUUGGAAGAGCCCAUAUUGAGCCUAAAUUGGUGCCAGCCAUUAACCUCCGUGCUCACGGGAGGGCUCCAAAGAAGUCAUGACAAGUACUUAAGUCAAACGGCGGUACUAAACAAGAGAAAAUUUGAAAAGGGAACUAUUCAACCACCCUUCUUCUUUACAACACCACCAACAAGGAAAUAGCUAAAACAAAUGGUCUAUAAUUGACCAAUCAAAGGGCAAGUUCCCCCUUAUUUGUUAAGGUUAAGAGGGAUGGGUAAAGAUCAACUUUGAUGCAACUUGUAUAAUCGAGUCAUUCGCCUCUGCAUGUAUAGCUAGAAAUUGUUGCGAAGAUGAUGGCAAAAAUUGCUGUCUUCACUAUGAUUCACAAUGCGCGAAUGGUUGCACAUCUGAAAAUGUAGUUACAUCUGUGCCUAUGAAAGACUUGCUGGAUGCGAAAUGAGAGUCACGAGAUUUAGUGGCCUUGAUGUUUUCUUGAUUUUGUUGGAAGCUCGAAGAGCUUCAGAGCUUCCUUAUUCCCUCUAACUCCAUUGCCACUUCUUUCAUCAUCGGCCGGUUCCUUCCAAUCAAGCUCAAGCACCUUCUUGCGAGGCUAGCGACAGCUACAAUCUCUUCUUUCUUGCCUUCCUCCAUGACCCAAGCAUCAGCAAUAUUGAACAAGCAAUUCCGCUCCAUCGAAAUUACAAAAUAGGCUGCGAGGCUCCUUUCUUCUUCUUCCCUAAGCAAAGAGAUUGGCAUUUGUCCUGUUAAGAGUUCAACAAGGACUACUCCAAAGCUAUACACAUCGCUUUUGUCUGUGAAAUGACCUGUUUUGAAGUACUCCAGAUCCAAGUAUCCAAAAGUCCCUCGCACCAAUGUGGUAACAUGAGUUUGGUCAAGGGAUACAGACUUGGAAAUACCAAAAUCUGCGACUUUAGCACAAUGUUUCUCGUCCAAAAGGAUAUUGGUGGACUUGAUGUCGCGAUGAUAGAUGGGUAUAGAAGCCGCUGAAUGCAAGUAGAAUAAAGCUCCAGCAAUUUCGGUUGCAAUUCGUAGGCGUGUGUCCCAUGACACGAGAAGGUCUUCAUUUGGGUCAUGCAAAUACCUAUAAAGAGUCCCAUUCGGUAUGAACUCAUAUACUAAAAGUGGGUUAUCUGUUUCCACGCAACACCCCAUUAGCUUAACCACAUUCCUAUGAUCGAUUUGUGAGAGAAUGAUGACCUCAUUGAUGAACUCUUCAACCUUUUCCUUGUCUAUCAGUUUUGAUUUCUUAACUGCAACUAUUUUUCCAUCAGUCAGCAUUCCCUUGUAAACUACACCUUGUCCACCUUGGCCAAGUAUCCUAUCCUUGUUGAAACGGUCAGUGGCCUUCUCUAAAUCCUUGAAACCAAAUAAUUUGCUUUUCGCAACAUUGCCUUCAGGUGACGAAGAUAGAUGUCGUUGCAACAAGAGGCCCCACUGCGUUUUAAAGUACUUCUCUUUUUGCUUAAGUUCUCUUCUUUUCUUGACGACUCUGUAUAAGCAUCGAGAGAGAAGCAACACUUGCACUAGUCCUCCAACGCCCGCUCCGAGGCCUGCAGUUCGGCAAUUUAGUAGAGGAUAGAGUCAUAAAAAGCACAUGCUGUUAAGAAUGUUUACAGUUGUGCUAAACUAUCCAACUAGGAAUAGAAUAAUUUGGAAGCAGGAAAACUACUAAUCCCACAUUGAGUUAUGGAUAUUCUUUCCAUUGGCCAAGUAGAAAUUUCUACCAUCAUAGGAAGCCGCCAACUACAUAUGGGCAAAACUCAGAUUAUGAAAUGAUGUUGCAUUAAAAAAAUCUUUUCAGCAAAAUCGAAUGCAAUAAAAUUCACCAGAUGUAUAAACCAUCUACUCAAAUUGAUGCCUAAUUUUUCAUGGAAUCGUAUUUCAGUCCCACUCUUCUAUACUUACUCACCAUCGACGCCACAAAGAAUUUCAUCAUAUUGGUUAAUAAAAGUUCUAUUUCCAGGGAAAAAUAAUAAUCCUACACAAACAACAUAGCCUGGAAAUUGAAUUCGACACUUCGAUCAAAUCAUGACAAGUGGAAGAAUAGAACGACAAUCCUGUUGGAACGAAGGGUAAGGUAAAAUUAUACCUGUACCUUUUUUUAAAAACAUAUUUUAGGCUAUGCUGUUCAUCUUCUAACAAUAAUCAAAAGCAUGAAGUGGUCUAAAAUUCUAGGUUAAAAGAUCUACUUAGUACUUACCAAUAAGAAUAGCUGUCUUUCUACCUGUGACGCAGUCAUAGCUGCCCCGUUUGUUCACACAAGUCCCGGGGCACAAGUUUGGAUCUUCACAUUCAUUAAUAUCUGAUGACAGGUGAUAAAACAAACACAUUAGCAGUGGGUCAGUGGUGGUGGCCAAGUUCGCCCCGGGUUUACCCCGCCGGCUGCCAGCUAUACAGGGGCUCCCGGGUUAUCAAAAAAAAAAAACAAACACACACAUUAGCAGCGAAACCCAUGUCCUUGAGUAAAAUUAGAGAGAUUAGUAGGUCACAUUUCCUCUUGAAUUGUUUACUCCAUAUCCGAAAUAUUAUGCUUGUAACGAACGGACUCUCCCCUUUGUUUCCGGUAAAUUAUUAUCAUUAUAAGUCAUUUAAUUUUGUUUGAAAUUCACUUUGUGUAAUAUUGGGCGGUAAAACAAGAAAAAGAAGGCAGAUAAGCAUGUACGUGAUCAUCAAACAGUUUCAAUGCGUUCUUUUCAGAGAAAAUUCUGGGAAUGGACAAGCCACAUCUCCGUUUAGUGUCCUUAAAAACGGAACGGGUUAGCAUGAAGUAUGUUACCUUGGCAUCCUUCAGUAAGAUAGGGGUUACCCCCAUACCCCGCGUUGCAAUAGCACUGUAUGAAUGGCAUUUGACUCGUACACAAUCCAUAGAAGCUGUAUUUGCUACAUUUGAAGGCAUCAAGAUAGCCCGAGCCAUAGCCUUGCAGGAAAAGCAUGAAUUGGUAGUCGGUUUUGUCUGAAAUCCCCCAUUCCAACACCACUGGAACUGUAUCAUUCCAACUCAAAUCUUAUAAACCUGUUACGUUAGACCUCAAGAACCGUGAUCUAUCUGCUAGGAAAGCGUACUUGCAUCCCUGAGGUCCACCUUCUUCUUUAAAAUCCACGCUAAAGCCCUGAAGGUUAACGGGGAGUGUAGUCUGGCAGCAUUGGUCCCUCCCCAAACAAGCACUAUAUCGGCCAAAGUCGGUGCUGGUUCCAGCACAUUUUGACCGGCAACCAACAACAUCUGACUCUGUACUAUUCACUGUUGUCAGGGUGUUGCAACCGACCGACGUAAAUACGUUCCAUCUCUGGGAGAAGAUAAAUUGACUUCCUUCAAAGUUCACCGGCCCACCAAGUCCUUCGCCCCGGCAGCUUGCAUUUGAGUAUAUUAAUGGAAGACUGACACUGAUCAUGCCAUCCACGGAUUGAUAAUAAUUGGGAAGUGAAAUGUUGAGAACUCGCAAUCCAAUCUUAUAUAGUAUUGGAACCAACCUAUUUUGGCAGACGAUCUCAUACCAGGGAUCCAAGAAACACCCGGCACCUAUUCCGAAGGGGAAGGGAAUGCUGACGUUCCCGCAUGUUUCAACACAGUUGGGCCUUGCAAGUCCAGCUGCAGCUCCUGAUGCUUGUAUCGUGAGGAAAACCAGAAGCACAAGAAUUCGGAACUCUGAGUUCGACAUGAUGUUCACGUCUGUGUGUGCAUGGACCUAAACAUAUGGAGAAAGGGGAUAUGGACUGAGUCCCUUAAUAUUGUUAUUUAUGUGGAAGAGGGGAAGAAUUCUGAUGCACUCUACGCAUAAUUUUGUUCCAGCUCUGCUACUUCCUAGUAUCUGUGACGAUGCUUCCUUGAAUAUGGAAAUAUCGAAGCUUGAUAGGUAAAGGACACCAACGGAAGCAGCCAAGUGUGACUUUUCCAGCUGUUGGGGAUAUGAUUUUGUCAUCAUCUUUAUAAUUGAGAUAUCUAAUCCUUUCCUUCUUGACUUAAAUUGUUUCGCAUACGAGUCGGUUCAUUUUAAUUUAUCGUAGACCAAUAAUGUAUGAAUUCUUCCUCUUCCGCGCUAGAUUAAAUAUGGUUCCACGCCUUUGCUUAUUGUCGCAAAAUUUCACAUUUCAUUGCCAAUCUUUUUGUUUAGUAUUUAUUAUUGGUCAUUUACAGUUCCUAAUUAAACAUGAAUGUGGUCUUUCUGUAAAUUCUGAAUAUCUGUCUUAGUUUAGCACUGUUUCAGUUAUUUAUUAAAUCGACUUCUGAGUUUAACCUUGUUUAGAGGACUCGAAUUUCACCGUUUUUCACGAUGAGUGAACGGCUGCACAUUGAAUAAAUUACAGGAAAUUAUUGCUAAUCAUCCCUAUCCAUGUGUCCAGGGAAGUGAAAUGUUGAGCAAAUGUAAUCCAAUCUUACUUAGAGUAGGAUUCGUGUCUCCAUAAUUUAGCUAAUCUUUCGCGAAUUUCAUGAAAUUUUGGGAUUUUUCCAGCCCAAAAAAAAGAAAAACUCAAGAAAUUAACAUGUUGAGAUGUGAAGAAAUUUUCUUUUGUUGCCAUUAAAGCCUCUACUUCCAGAAAGGCUCCAAGUCAUUUUGAGAUUGGAGGACUUUGGAGACUCGUUUUUUGUUCUAGACAAGCCCAUUCGGACAAGGCUUGAAGCCUAGGUACUGAGAAAUGGGGAUUCAAAAUCUUAGCUUUCGGAGUUAGAAAAACUGGAAAGUACGAGGCAACUGAACUGCACAUGUGAUCUUUGACUGGCACUUGAGGCAAGCAGACGAUGCCUUUUUUUGACCGCUGAGAUUGGACUUCUUCAAAGGCGUAUGGUGCCCGUGUCCCAUAUAAUAUGCAAUCUCAGCCGAUGAUCGAGUGUGACUCUCACGUGGAGCCCCCAUAAUAAGUGAUUAUGACGGAUCAAGUCCAUAGAGACUCGGAUCCAGGCAAGAAUUUUGCGCAAGACCAGUGGAAAACGGGUUAAUAUAAUUCCCAUCCAUAUGGAAACCAAUUUGUACGCAAACAAGCUUGGAACUAUCAGCAUGGUGCGAACCAAUGAUGACUUGUAAAAUCUAUGGCCUUCAAGACCGUUAUCAUAUGAGAACUUAUAUUAGAACUGAUCAUUGACUUAGUCUCCGACAACGACAGAACAGAGAAACAAUGGUUCCGUAGCUAGCUAUUGCGCUGACGAUGACUCAUUUUAGACCACAGGCUUCUUGGUGGUCGGCAGCGACUGAGCUUGGCCGGGUCGUUGGCCUCAUCCUCGCCUAUUUUCCACGAGAUCAAUGAUCUCACUAUUCAUCCAGAAUCACGACCCUGUUCGAGGGAUGAGCGCAAGACGGGGUUACCUAAACGCCUUUUUCUUCUGUUACUUUAUGACUCCUACCCCAUAUCCGAGGAUGCUUCCAAGUGCAGAAUUGUCAGCUUCAGAUCUUUCAUGGAGAAAAAGAUUCUCCACUGAAGUGAUCGCCUAUUUUAGCAGCCAAAAUGAGAAAAUUUGUUUCGAUCAGGUUCGCUUUGAUGACAAUGGCGACAGACUACUUUUCAGUUUCAGUUGAAGAUAUGAAAAAGAAAACCCAUGAUAUUAACAUGAUGAAAAUUGAAGAUAUUUUCUUUUGUUCACCAUUGAAGUUUCUCCUUUCAGAAAGGCUCUUAAGCCAUUUUCAGAUUGGAGGACUUUGACGACGCGUUUUUUGUUCUGGACCGCCAUAUCAGGACAACGCUUGAAAGGUACUGAGAAAUGGGAUAUUUCGGAAACUCAGCUUUCUAAGUUAGAAAAGUCGGAAAGUUAGAAGACAACUGAACCGCAGAGGUGAUCCUUGACCCGCACUUGAUGCGUUAAGGCCAUUGCACAAGUGGGGAUCAGAGUAAAGUCCAGUAAAUUACUUUUCAGAGUCCAAUUCUUUGACUGAGAGAUGCAGAAGAAGACUCGCUAUUACUUUGCUUCCACGCAGAUUUAGACAUCGAUAUCACCAUAAUUUAGCUACCGAAAAUUGCGGAGCCACUUGUCAGGUUCGAUACGUGCACCCGUUCUCAUAUAAUCCAUAUUCAGGCUUUUUCCGAAACAAGUUCCACCAAAACUGGAGACUAAAUCGGGUUCGGAUGAUUUUGGUCAUAUAUAAUAUGGAAAGGUAGUUACUUGAUGGUAUCAUAGCAAACGAAAAGACUUGGACCAUUACCAAGUCUUGAUAAGUAGAGGACACCAAUUUAAGAAGCCAAGUGAGAUUUUUUUCCAUUGUUUUUUCUUUUCUCUUCCAUUGUUGGGAAGACAAUUUUGCAAUCAUCUUUCCUGUGAGAAAGACUUACUUGGAGCAUUACCAAGAGAGAUGACUUUUCAGGGCCCUUUAUCAUGGACUCCGUCAAGCACGUUGUAAUAGAGUCGUUUAUUGUUUUCCUUACCAACUUAAAUUUUGUUUUUGUAAGUAUCGGAUCUUUUUAAUUUUUCCUAGACAAAAAUCGUGUGAAUUUUUUCUUUCGUAGACCAAAAUCAUAUUUGAUAAAUAACUACCAAAAUCCUCCUAUUGGUAAACAAACGAUUUCUCCUCUGUUCUUUCUUUUCUCUUUAUUUUGUUCUGAUUUCCGAUUUCCAAGACAAAAAGAGUUUCUUAAAUUCUCAAUUUAGUUAUAAACCUUUCAAUCUAGCCAAUUUAAUUCUAAUCAUUUUAAGAUAUGCUAGUAUAGCCCUUUAAUUCUUAAUUUGUCAAGCUCAGCUAUGGUCACCGCUUCUUCUUCCGAAUCUAAGGCCAAAGACAAGGUGAACUCGAUCAACAUAAACAAGAAAGGAAGACAAUCCGUCUGCAUUAAACUCAUCGGGAAGCUCGAGCAACCCUAUUUGUUUAUCUCUUCUUUUACACCGCCACUCCAAUCAUCACAAGAUCCGCUCACAGUGGCUUCAUCCCAAAAAAAAAAAAAUUGGCCAGAGAGCAUCCAAUUCUUAUGGCAAAAGAUUUCAUCUCCACCAACCACCGCCUUCAACUCUCAUCACCCUAUUGGUCUCUGUUUCGACGCGAAUAAACCCUGGUAUUGCCGUGGCCAUUGAUCAAAUCAGUUAUUGUUUAAGCCCAGAAAACGGCCAUCCCUAUUCUUGGUUCCCCUGAUUCUUUUUAUCUUUUAUUUUAUUUUAUUUUUGUUUUCCUUUCUAAAUGGCUAUUGGCUGAAAAUGUUUUUGUUCAGUAGUGACUGGGUUUUGUUGUUUGAGCAGUUCAAGUAACUGGGAAAAUUUCAUAUAAUUUCAAAUAAAGGUUCGAAAUUGAGUUGUUUUCUUGAAUAAAGGUUUGAAGUGCAAAAUCAGUCACUAAUAAGAGCUGAACUCUUAGGCCAGCCAAAUCUUCACUGAUCAGCGAGCCGUGUGAUUGUUCCAACCACUGGGGAAGGGACAUUUUUGUCCAAAAAUUUCUGGGUUGGUUUUUUUCCUUCUGUUUUUCUUUCUUGAGUUCAGGACUGGGAAUUAAUCCACAACCCCAACUCCGACUCGGUCGACAACCCUAGGAACUUUGACCAGAUGGAGGAUGAAUCGGGGGGCAUGAUCCAGGGCGAUACAAUACUUAGCAAGCAAAUCUUUUUAAUUACCUAACAUCCCGCUCAGGAUCUGAUUACAGACAUGCCGACCUCAUCCAAUAGAAAUUACUUUUUAAAGUUCUGGUUAAUCAAGCAAGAACCGUUGUUCUACCAUAAAUUCUUACAUGUUUGCAUGGCAAGUGAUUCACCGGUAUAGAUUGACAGCAUGAUAUGCUUUCUCUGAUAGAGAAUCGCUAAUCGCGCGUUUUCUUGCACUACAAAUGCAAUCAAAUAGUGUCGUUUCAGCACAAAAACCUCUCAAAAAAGUCUCUAAACUUCACGUUCCAAUUUCUCCCCACCGUUGCUUCUCGCUCUCUCUCUUCUCCUUUCUUGCUUCUACACUAAUCUGCAGGAUCUUAAACCCUGAAAACGGGGUCAAGAUCUCUAAUUUUUCCUAGAAUUUGCCUCCAAUUCGUGAAAAAACAAUGGGUUCGGGAAAACCCAUUUCGAGAUGACCAUUUUGCCGUUACUUAGUCUUGCUAUCUCCAAACCCAUAAAGAAAGAGAGCUUUGACGAAGAAGAUUUGGAGGAGAUUGAGGAACUGUUAGCCCUAGAUGAAGAGGUGGAGGAACAUCAAGAAAUUUCACCAACAAUUGUGAGAUUUUGUGAAAUCACUACCAACUAAGCAUGGAAAUCUAAUUGGGAAAGCAAAUAAAGUCUACAAAAAUUUGGUGAAACCACUGUCAACUAAGCGUGGAAAUUUAAUUGGGAAAGUAAAUAAGACCUGAAAAGAUUCCAACUCAUGAUCUCCACUCUGAUAUAAUGUGAGAUUUAAUGGGACCACUACCAACUUUUUUAAAAGAUUAAGUUGUUAAAUGAAGCUGUAGUUUAUUGUUUAUAUAUUUUGACAAUGUCGAAUCCCGAAUCUUAAAAAAGAGAAAAAGAAAAUCAAGCUAGAAUUUUUUUUGAGAAAUGCAGCUUGGCUAAUUAAAAAUGUUACCAUCCUGACAUCUUUUGGUGUUUCUAUACUCUGGACUAAAAUUCUAGAUAGUUUGUAGCUAAAAGACAGUCCUUGAAAGGCUUGAACAAGAGGUUCGCUUGUUGUGGGACGGCAUAUAUGGUACAACUGAUUUGGUUCUCCCUAGUUCUAAGCAUAGAUCCCCUCAUUGGUAUCAGAGUAAUGAGGGGACCCAUACUUAGAACCAGGGAGAACCAAUGAGGGGAUCUAUACUUAAAACCGAGAAGAACCAGGUCAGUUGCAACAGAUAUGCUAUCUCACAACAAACAAGCCUCUUGUUCAAGCCUUCCACGGACUGUCUUUUAGCUAGUCCCUUCUCUAGUAGCCUAAACAAUCACAAGACUCACUAUCUAGUGAAGAUUUGGUCGGCCGACAAGUUCGAAGUCUUAUUAAAAACUGAUUUGCCACUCCAAGUCAUUAUUUGAGAUAAGGUCUACUUUGAGCUUUUAUUUUUGAAAAUAAGUCUACUUUGAGUAUUUAUUUGAAAUUUUCUCUCAGAUGAUUGAUGACUCAAUACUCCUUCCUUCUUUUCUCUGUUUUUUGCUUUGAUUGCUCCAUUUUCUUCUAAUUAGGUCAUAAGGCUAUGUUUGGUUGUCUAGAUUUCUAAUCAGGAUAUGACUAGAUAGAAUAGUAUAGGAUAUGAAAUCCUGAGAUUUUUCUAUAUUCUAUGCACUAUUUGGUAAAUCGCAAUAUUAAAGUCGAAUAUAUUCACAUCAUAUCAUAUAUAUAUUUUUAAAUAUAAAUGACAUAUCAUUGUAAAUGAACCUAAAAGUUCAUAAACAAAGAUGGUAAAAAUAUCUUGUGACAUUAUUCCUUAAUUUAUUUUUAUUUUAUUUUUCCUCUUUUUAAAAUUAUUUUCUUUAUUAUUAUUUUUCCCCUUUCAUCAUUCUUUAAUAAAAUUUUAUCAAAUAGUAAACUGUACUAACAUACCUAAAAUACAAAAAUACCUAAAAUAUAUAUAAUAAAUAUAAAUAUAUAAUUUAUAUAUAGAAUUUUUAUUAUAAGAAAAAGAUUAAAGUUGAAUAUAUAAAUUAAAUUAAGAUUAAAUUAACAUAAUUUUUAAUUUUUAAUUUUUAAUUUCUUAAAUUAGAAUUCGAAUAUUAUUUAUAUUGAAAUAUAAUUUUUUUAACUUAAUAAGUUUGUUAUUCGAGAAAAAUAACUUUCAUAUUAUAAAUAUUAGAAAUCAUAUCCACCUUUAUCCCACCUCCCCUAUGGAAUAAUUUUAUCCGGCUUAUAUCUCCUUAUAUCCGACUUUAUCCUAUCUUGAGCAGGUAUCAAACAUAAGAUAUGAUUCAUAUCCUAUCUCGAAUUUUAUCCUAACUGUCAAACGCACCCUAAGAGUUUUUGUUUUUCCUUGAAUGCAACUCCAAAUUCGGUGACGAGAUUUCUGCAAUUCCCAGAUUUGUGAUUCCAUAUUUCUCUUCUUUCUAUCCGUUUUCUUUCUUUCUUUUUUUAUGGCUUUCAUCAUUAAUUUUUUUAUUGGCCUAUUUUCGGAUGUGGCACCUCUAAAUUACAUGGAAAAAUUCACCAUUUUCCAUUCAUCAAUGUGGACAAAGCUAACGAAGGAACUUGAUUGCAUCAAUAUGUCAAGUUUGGGGAUUUAAUUGCACGUUUUAAAAGUUUAAGGACCCAAUUAUACUUUCGUAACAAGUUUUAAGACUUUUAUGACACUUCCUCUAUGUCUUAUAACAUUUGAAAGUCUUAUCUCUUCCCCUCAUGCUGGCCAAAAUUUAACGGUCAAUUUGAGUGUUCAUUUCAAAAGAUUUCCACACAGUUUGGAUGACCCCAAUUCAUAUUUGGCACUCAGUAAUUGUUUGGCAAGGUAGAAAACUAAAAGCAUGGUGGUUUUUGAUAAACCAUCUUUCUACUGUUAUUUGGUAUGUUGCUAGUUCGAAAUUUUAGUCAUCACCACAAAGGAAUCACGCAUACAAGAUAGAUGGGGUAAUAUUGGAAGCCCAUAGUGGGAAAUAAAUGGUCCCUAUGCACAAAUUUUUUUCUUGAUUGUGUUGAAGUCACUUUUACCAUGAUGCAUAAAUGCAACAUAUCACCUAUGGACACUUGAAUUUUUGUCGACAUUUUAAGUAUCCAUUCAUUUUACAUAAAUAUUAAAAAAAAGGACAAAAAGAAGAAAAAGAAAAAAGAACAGAAAGUCAUAAAAAGAUUAAAAGAAAGUAAAAAUAGUGAAAAUGAACAAAAUAAGUGGAGUGAUAAAAAGAGGGAAAAUAAAUAAUUAAAAAAGGAGAAAAUGACGAAAAGGUAAUGGAAAAAUCGGGCCUAGUGGGCCGGCGGGUCCAGCCCACCCUUUUAUUGAAUUUUUGGCCCUUUCAAAAGUUAGGCCCAGAUUCCCAUUUAUUUUCUUCCUUUUGGCCCACUUUUCUCCCCUUCUCUUUGAGCCCAAGAGAAAACAAUGCAAAGCCCAGCCCGGCCUUUCCUCCAGCCUUGUUUCGGCAGAGACCAGCACGCCCGGAGAAUAGCUGAGCUGGCGGGUAGGAGGGGGAGGCGUAAUAGAAAGAUUCCUCAAGCGAGGGCUGCGUGAGGGAGGGGAGAGAACGCUCGGCCGAGGCAUGGAGGGGCGAGAGAAGACAGACGCAACAGAGGGGCUGAUCCUUUUCUUCGCUGAAGCGAUAUCACGGAGAGAGAAAGAGAGAGGGGAGGGGGUGAGAGAGAGUAUUAUUUCCGUUCUCGGGGAGUGACCGAGGACCCAGUCGCCGGAGCUCGCCGCCCGUUUCCAAAGCUCCGGUCAAGGGUCAGUUCGUGAGCCAGCCUUUACCCAUUCGGCGGUCUUUCUACGGCCGAAGAAGGAGCCCCAACUAGUCGCUCCUCACCGUCGCUGACUGAGAUCUUGAGUCGCCGAACGAGACAGGUAGGAUUCCUCUCCCCGAAGCCCCUGUUUUCUGGCCGGAGAAACUCGUCUGAGUCGAUGUAACUUUUGGAUCAAAAUCUUGACAAACUCACACAAGUUUAGAACGGUUCAUAGUGUUUGGGAGGUUAAUGUAUCAUGGUUGGAUCGUGGAAUGCUGUAGAUUUGAACUAACUAUUUGUUAUAUUGCCUGAACGAACCGCAGAAUGUUAAAGAAAACCGAAUCUGAUCGUUAAAAUUUUAAGUAAACUAGAACAAAUUAGGAUGGAUUUAGCAUGAAAAAUGUUGAUUCAUGCCUUUAUACAUUGUUUUUUACUCUAAAAUGGCAUCGAAUCCCUCUCUGGAACACAUCCUUUACAUCGCACAUCAGUCGCUCGAUAAAAUGCUUGAGGGAAGGCCGAAGCUGCUCGAUUGUUGAAUCUUAAGAUUGAUUUUGCUUUUGCUUCUGUAUAGGUUGAAUGUGGCCUAAUAUUAGUGUUUUCUUUUGUUUUACGCAUGUGAUGAGAAAUCUGUGUUCGAGUUCAACUUGUAUAUAUAUCCCCAUGCCUGAAAGCUGUUCGUCGGAGACAUCCCCUCUCGCCGGCGAAGUUUGUGAUUUAAAAUCACCCAGUCAGUUUAUCUCUUCACUUUGUUGUAUACUAGUGAUUGUUUUCUUGUUAGAAAGCCUAGGAUGGGAGGGAUUAGCUUCCGAUAGGUAUUUUUGUUCAUGGUUGUGGUCGCCGGAAUGAGUGGUCGGAGUUGGGGGGUUGCCGGUGGGAGUGGAUGACCGGCGGAGAGAGUCGGUUUGGCAGCCAUGAAGGCACUCGCUGUCGCUGGCCAGAGCAAUGGCAGGGCGUCGAGGCCGGUGAUCCUGGUUCGGUGAGUGCAGGUGGAAAGAAAAAGAGUCGGCGAAGGAGGAGGAGCGCUGCUGGAGGUUGGAGGAGGAGGGCAGGGAAAGAAUGUAAAACAGGGGAAAGGACAAAAGAAAGAAGAAAAAGAAAAAUAGGAAAAUUUCAAAAAAAAAUUUCAAAAU